AAGUCGUAACAAGGUCUCCGUUGGUGAACCAGCGGAGGGAUCAUUAUCGAGUUAUUCAACUCCCAAACCCUAUGUGAACUUACCACUUGUUGCUUCGGCGCGCGCUUCGGCGCCGCCGAGGACACUUAAACUCUUUGUUUUUAUAAGCAUUUCUGAGUGGCCGAAAGGCAAAAAUACAAAUGAAUCAAAACUUUCAACAACGGAUCUCUUGGUUCUG
Molecule: unclassified non-coding RNA, 217 nt
Filed under: Leptobacillium leptobactrum
Lineage: Eukaryota; Fungi; Ascomycota; Sordariomycetes; Hypocreales; Cordycipitaceae
Also listed under: 2 other names
Description: partial contains small subunit ribosomal RNA, internal transcribed spacer 1, and 5.8S ribosomal RNA
Rfam family: Eukaryotic small subunit ribosomal RNA (bases 1-46)
Source: RNAcentral